RNAcentral lists this long non-coding RNA (221 nucleotides) under Lathyrus oleraceus (garden pea). RNAcentral's name for it is "Pisum sativum (pea) long non-coding RNA (PSAT_LNC037981)". Lineage: Eukaryota; Viridiplantae; Streptophyta; Magnoliopsida; Fabales; Fabaceae. The record is from RNAcentral.
UCAAGGAUAGACUUGCCUCGGGAUGUUAAGGAGGAUAUCCGUCAUCAGUUAAGAUGAACAUAUCAAGGAUAAACUCUGCAAGGAGAAAUAGGAAUUACAUCUAUCAGUUACUGGAUAGACUAUCAUCGGAGAGAAAAAUCCGUCACCGGUUAGGAACAUAUCAAGGAUUAACUCUGUAGGGGAGAAAGUAGGAUUUACAACUGCUGGUUACUGGGCAAAAG